Long non-coding RNA from Alexandromys fortis (reed vole), 2695 nucleotides. RefSeq lists it as uncharacterized. Lineage: Eukaryota; Metazoa; Chordata; Mammalia; Rodentia; Cricetidae. The transcript has 3 exons. The record is from RefSeq and is a predicted model, not a curated record.
GUGUCUACCCUUCUGUUUGAGACAACCUCUCACCAGCCUGGAGCAUGCAGAGAAGGCUAGUCUGACUGACUCAUGAACUCCAGAGACCUGCGCAUUCUCAACAUUGAGAUUACAAAGGCACACUACCCGCCUGGCAUUUUUACCUGGAUUCUGUGGCACUGAGAUCAUGUCCUCAUGCAGGCAAGGGAAGAGAGAGCAUCUCCAUCCGUCGGCAGACUGAAGAAGCUGCCAUCACUCAUUGGCGCCGGGAUGCAGGCACUUAGAAACCAACGAAAAGUCUUGGAAGAUCUUCAGGGGGAAACCGGCAUAUCUCAGGCUAGCUAGCUGUACACUCCUUAAGUAGCUGAGAGUGACUGAACUUCGGAUUCUUCUGUCUCCACAUUCAAAUGCUGGGAUUACAGGAGUGAACCACCAUGUGUAAUUUACAGGCAAAACAAACAAACAACCCGAAAUCGCUGAUCUUCUUUCUUCCAGUCCUGAGCAACAUCACACCUAGAGACAUCGGGCACACCUCAACAGAGGGAUCAUCAGACUUUCUGAAACACUCCCACUUGCCAAAGGGUGAUCGGAAAGACACCGAGAAGAGGCAACACCAGCAGUAAAGACUUCUUUCUAGGUCAGGUUCUGGGGUUACCUUGUUUAGUUAUGCCUCCUCCCCUUUUAAGACUUGGUGCAAAUGAGCUUCCCCUCCUCCCUCUCCCUGGGUCACUUUCAGUUUGUUCGAACCAGCCCUGUGUGCAUUUGGGGUUGACAAUGAACCAGAAGUUCUUGGGCGUGAGAUGUGUUUAAGUUCCCAGUGCUGGCACCAUUAUCUUCAGACUCUGGCCACAUGAACUUGAAUUACUGAGCACUGUUAUCAUUGUCUCAGGACUUAGCUGAGAAAGGUCAGUUCAGACCCAGAGAGCCCAACUGAAGCAGACAGAACAUGGGCCCCUCCCUUGAUGACCUGCUCUCAUUUCAAGUUGAAAGAUGAUUCAGAUCUCAAAAUAAGAAAUGAUUUGCAAACUCAGUUGAAAAGAUGCAAACAUGAGUACCGCCAUCAUGCCCAUGGCCUUUGAGCCAGAAGGUCUGCUUUUUAACUCUAACUCUGCCAAGGAGGCAGGAAAACGCACACAUGGAUGGGGCAUUGGCCAUCUCAGACUCGAGUAGAGUAACAAAACCUGACCCACUCAGUGCUAGCUAAGAAAAUGAUGUUAUCGUAUGUGAUACCACAAACCCAAAUAAGACUUCAAAUGAUAUUUCCUACACAGAGGAAAAUACAUCUUAUUGAGCAAACUGUGUAUUUUUUUUAAAUGUAAGGAACAAGCUAUUUUUUUUUUUUAAUAAGAAAUCACAUAAACCUCCAGGCCUUUAUCGAUGUUUACCACUGGGAAGAGGGCAUCUUCUUUUUAGUCACUUCAUAUUUUGCUGUAUUUCUGAAAUUCUCUCCUAAAAACACCUAUUUAUUGGAUAAUGUAAAAUCCCAAGCCAAUACAUGUCAUUUUAAAAAGCUGGCAGAUAACACCAGUUUCUGUGAUCCUGCCUCUAUCUGAAACGUGGGACCAUGGUCAAGGGCACCACCACACGUGCGUCUCCCGGCCCCACGGUUCCAGGCAGGGCCUGUAUAUAGUUGUCAAAAGAAAGGUCCGUAACAUGCCUUCACGGCUCCCAGGCCUCUAUUAAUGCCGCAUGUGCUCCUGUAAGGUGAGUGAUUAAAUGACAUGCAAUAAUUGUCUCUCCUCUAAAGCAGGCAUUUAUUUUCCUCCAUGCGUGAGGCUCUGUUUUUCUAUCAUUUAUCACAACUUCACUGUAGGACUCAUCUCCGUGGGCUGUGUGUCUUGUACCUCUCUUUUUAACGCAAGCUGACCUAAACGGCCCCGGUCAGAAAUUAAAUAUAAUUACCUAUAGACUCGCACUGGGCAAAUGAGAUCGCGCGGGCUCCUGAAGCGGAACAAGGUGCGUUGGAGGUCUCUGCUCGUCCGUCUUCCCCAGAGUUAAUUUCUCCCCUCCUGGAGGACGCCUACGCACAGCCUCACAAUGACCUGUUUAGUUGGCAGUGGAAAAUGAUGUCAUUUGCAAGUAAGCUUUCAGCUGUGAUAUUUUAUAAUUGUUAAGAUGAAAACCCGAUAAUCCUCUCCCCCUUCACAUAAACUGCAAUCCAUCUUUAAACCUGUGAUAAUUCUCCAAACCUGCCGCUUAAUAAACUAACAAACCCCAGGCCUGUGCGAUUUUACGGGGAGUCAAUCUUUGAUCAGCCAAGCUGAAACGGGUCUGAUAAAGGGACGCCCUUCCACUCCGGAGUCACCACUUGAGUGGGUUAUUGCUGUUUCCUCCGGUCCUCCAGUGCCAAAUAAGCAGAGGUCUUCCCAAGCUCCUUAUCUCUUCCACUUUCUUCUUGAGAUCUCUGUCGCUUUAAUCCGGCAUGUCUGCUGCUGGUUAACAAGGAAAUCCUAUGUCAAUUAUCGCCAACAACUUCCUGCUGAGAAGCUGCAGGGAGUCAAAGUGUUUGAGAGCCUUUUCACACCAGAGAGUGGUGCAGGGCCUAAUUAAAUGGCCCUCAUAUCUUACAGCCUGGUGGAGGCCUUGUGAUAGAUAGCUAAUGAAAGAUAGCCUCAUUUGGCUAAGAACCUUUGAAGGCCAGUGGGCUGUCCAGCGGGUUGGAGGUGCACCCCAAAGUGGAGCUGCAUGGGACUCCUGCAGUUCCAGUGAGCAUAGA